Molecule: ribosomal RNA, 657 nt
Filed under: Bacillus cereus
Lineage: Bacteria; Bacillati; Bacillota; Bacilli; Caryophanales; Bacillaceae
Description: bacterial SSU rRNA
Rfam family: Bacterial small subunit ribosomal RNA
Source: RNAcentral
UAGAGUUUCGGCUCAGGAUGAACGCUGGCGGCGUGCCUAAUACAUGCAAGUCGAGCGAAUGGUAAGAGCUUGCUCUUAUGAAGUUAGCGGCGGACGGGUGGUAACACGUGGGUAACCUGCCCAUAAGACUGGGAUAACUCCGGGAAACCGGGGCUAAUACCGGAUAACAUUUUGAACGCAUGGUUGAAAUUGAAAGGCGGUUCGGCUGUCACUUAUGGAUGGACCCGCGUGCAUUAGUAGUUGGUGAGGUAACGGCUCACCAAGGCAACGAUGCGUAGCCGACCUGAGAGGGUGAUCGGCCACACUGGGAUGAGACCGGCCCAGAUCUACGGGGGCCAGUAGGGAAUUUCCGACGAAAGUCUGACGGAGCAACGCCGCGUGAGUGAUGAAGGCUUCGGGUCGUAAAACUCUGUUGUUAGGGAAGAACAAGUGCUAGUUGAAUAAGCUGGCACCUUGACGGUACCUAACCAGAAAGCCACGGCUAAUACGUGCCAGCAGCCGCGUAUAGGUGGCAAGCUUAUCCGGAAUUAUUGGGCGUAAAGCGCGCGCAGGUGGUUUUUAAGUCUGAUGUGAAAGCCCACGGUCAACCGUGGAGGGUUGAACUUGAGUGCAGAAGAGGAAAGUGGAAGCAGAGUAGGGGAACACCAGUGGAGACUU